RNAcentral lists this ribosomal RNA (1461 nucleotides) under uncultured organism. RNAcentral's name for it is "SSU rRNA". It matches the Rfam family "Bacterial small subunit ribosomal RNA". The record is from RNAcentral.
GCUGUGCGGCGUGCCUAAUACAUGCAAGUAGAACGCUGAAGAGAGGAGCUUGCUCUUCUUGGAUGAGUUGCGAACGGGUGAGUAACGCGUAGGUAACCUGCCUUGUAGCGGGGGAUAACUAUUGGAAACGAUAGCUAAUACCGCAUAACAAUGGAUGACACAUGUCAUUUAUUUGAAAGGGGCAAAUGCUCCACUACAAGAUGGACCUGCGUUGUAUUAGCUAGUAGGUGAGGUAACGGCUCACCUAGGCGACGAUACAUAGCCGACCUGAGAGGGUGAUCGGCCACACUGGGACUGAGACACGGCCCAGACUCCUACGGGAGGCAGCAGUAGGGAAUCUUCGGCAAUGGGGGCAACCCUGACCGAGCAACGCCGCGUGAGUGAAGAAGGUUUUCGGAUCGUAAAGCUCUGUUGUAAGUCAAGAACGAGUGUGAGAGUGGAAAGUUCACACUGUGACGGUAGCUUACCAGAAAGGGACGGCUAACUACGUGCCAGCAGCCGCGGUAAUACGUAGGUCCCGAGCGUUGUCCGGAUUUAUUGGGCGUAAAGCGAGCGCAGGCGGUUUGAUAAGUCUGAAGUUAAAGGCUGUGGCUCAACCAUAGUUCGCUUUGGAAACUGUCAAACUUGAGUGCAGAAGGGGAGAGUGGAAUUCCAUGUGUAGCGGUGAAAUGCGUAGAUAUAUGGAGGAACACCGGUGGCGAAAGCGGCUCUCUGGUCUGUAACUGACGCUGAGGCUCGAAAGCGUGGGGAGCGAACAGGAUUAGAUACCCUGGUAGUCCACGCCGUAAACGAUGAGUGCUAGGUGUUGGAUCCUUUCCGGGAUUCAGUGCCGCAGCUAACGCAUUAAGCACUCCGCCUGGGGAGUACGACCGCAAGGUUGAAACUCAAAGGAAUUGACGGGGGCCCGCACAAGCGGUGGAGCAUGUGGUUUAAUUCGAAGCAACGCGAAGAACCUUACCAGGUCUUGACAUCCCGAUGCUAUUUCUAGAGAUAGAAAGUUACUUCGGUACAUCGGUGACAGGUGGUGCAUGGUUGUCGUCAGCUCGUGUCGUGAGAUGUUGGGUUAAGUCCCGCAACGAGCGCAACCCCUAUUGUUAGUUGCCAUCAUUCAGUUGGGCACUCUAGCGAGACUGCCGGUAAUAAACCGGAGGAAGGUGGGGAUGACGUCAAAUCAUCAUGCCCCUUAUGACCUGGGCUACACACGUGCUACAAUGGUUGGUACAACGAGUUGCGAGUCGGUGACGGCAAGCUAAUCUCUUAAAGCCAAUCUCAGUUCGGAUUGUAGGCUGCAACUCGCCUACAUGAAGUCGGAAUCGCUAGUAAUCGCGGAUCAGCACGCCGCGGUGAAUACGUUCCCGGGCCUUGUACACACCGCCCGUCACACCACGAGAGUUUGUAACACCCGAAGUCGGUGAGGUAACCUUUUGGAGCCAGCCGCCUAAGGUGGGAUAGAUGAUUGGG